GACGAACGCUGGCGGCGUGCUUAACACAUGCAAGUCGAACGCUGAAGACCUGGCUUUUGUCGGGGUGGGAGAGUGGCGCACGGGUGAGUAACAUGGGUGUAACCUGCCCUCUUCUUUGGGAUAACGCCCGGAAACGGGUGCUUAUACCGGAUAUUCACUGGCCUUCGCAUGGGGGCUGGUGGAAUGGUUUGUUAUGGUUGGGGAUGGGCUCGCGGCCUAUCUGCCUGUUGGUGGGGUGAUGGCCUCACAAGGCUUUGACGGGUAGCCGGCCUGAGAGGGUGACCGGUGACAUUGGGACGGAGAUGCGGCCCAGGCGAGGACGGGGGGGAGCAGUGGGGAAAAUUGCAGAAUGGGCGAAAGCGUGAUGCAGCGACGGUGCGUGAGGGAUGGAGGCCGUCGGGCUGUAAACCUCUUUCGCACAGGGUCAGGCAGCAACUGGGGGUUGUGGUGAGGGUAGUGGGUAAAGAAGCGCCGGCUAACUACGUG
This 486-nucleotide ribosomal RNA is filed under the name uncultured bacterium. RNAcentral's name for it is "partial 16S ribosomal RNA". It matches the Rfam family "Bacterial small subunit ribosomal RNA", at positions 28 to 507 of the family's 1533-position model. The record is from RNAcentral.